AGCAGCCGCGGUAAUUCCAGCUCCAAUAGCGUAUAUUAAAGUUGUUGCAGUUAAAAAGCUCGUAGUUGAAUUUCGGGGUCAGUAGGUUGGUCGUGCCACCGGUACGUACUGGUCUCACUGAUUCCUCCUUCCUGAUGAGCUGUAAUGCCAUUAAUUUGGUGUUGCAGGGAAUCUGGACUGUUACUUUGAAAAAAUUAGAGUGUUUAAAGCAGGCUAACGCUUGAAUACAUUAGCAUGGAAUAAUGAAAUAGGGCGUUCGAUCCUAUUUUGUUGGUUUCUAGGAUUGACGUAAUGAUUAAUAGGGAUAGUUGGGGGCAUUAGUAUUCAAUUGUCAGAGGUGAAAUUCUUGGAUUUAUUGAAGACUAACUACUGCGAAAGCAUUUGCCAAGGAUGUUUUCAUUAAUCAAGAACGAAAGUUAGGGGAUCGAAGACGAUCAGAUACCGUCGUAG
This 450-nucleotide ribosomal RNA is filed under the name uncultured Glomeromycotina. Its description in RNAcentral is "SSU rRNA". It matches the Rfam family "Eukaryotic small subunit ribosomal RNA", at positions 569 to 1023 of the family's 1831-position model. The record is from RNAcentral. Lineage: Eukaryota; Fungi; Glomeromycota.